GGCCUGCGCGGCUACACAUGCAGUCGAGCGGACCAGGCGGACCUUGGUCUGCUUUGGUCAGCGGCGGACGGGUGAGUAACACGUGGGCAACCUGCCCGCAGAACCGGGAUAACUCCGGGAAACCGGAGCUAAUACCGGAUAACACCGAAGACCGCAUGGUCUUUGGUUGAAAGGGGGCCUUUGGCUGUCACUUGCGGAUGGGCCCACGGCGCAUUAGCUAGUUGGUGAGGUAACGGCUCACCAAGGCGACGAUGCGUAGCCGGCCUGAGAGGGUGACCGGCCACACUGGGACUGAGACACGGCCCAGACUCCUACGGGAGGCAGCAAUAGGGAAUCUUCCGCAAUGGGCGAAAGCCUGACGGAGCGACGCCGCGUGAGCGAAGAAGGCCUUCGGGUCGUAAAGCUCUGUUGUGAGGGACGAAGGAGCGCCGUUCGAAGAGGGCGGCGCGGUGACGGUACCUCACGAGGAAGCCCCGGCUAACUACGUGCCAGCAGCCGCGGUAAUACGUAGGGGGCGAGCGUUGUCCGGAAUUAUUGGGCGUAAAGCGCGCGCAGGCGGU
This 560-nucleotide ribosomal RNA is filed under the name Geobacillus kaustophilus. RNAcentral's name for it is "bacterial SSU rRNA". It matches the Rfam family "Bacterial small subunit ribosomal RNA", at positions 41 to 579 of the family's 1533-position model. Lineage: Bacteria; Bacillati; Bacillota; Bacilli; Caryophanales; Anoxybacillaceae. The record is from RNAcentral.